AUGUUUUCUCCCCUAUCUAGGGCCUGAGGAUAUUCUGCAUUCAGUUGAUGGACAAUCAAGGUGCAUAAAGCAUGUGCAUAUCUCUGUCUCCUCUGCCUGGAAUGAUGCACAACAUGUUCUCCAUUUUUCCUUUGGAAGUCUCUGUCAGAAACAUGCUACCACAUGGAAAGAUCUACAUGGCAAGGAACUGAAAGAAUGAAAGAGGACCCCUUCUAAUAGCUAGCAAGAGGCUGAUUCUGUCAGCCUAAUAGCCUGUAAGGAACUAAAUCCUGCCAACAACCACGUGUCUUGAAAAUGUAUCCUUCCACAGUCUAGCCUCAGAUAAGAGUCUACCCCAAACAAUAGCUUGGUUGCAACCUUGUGAAAGACACUGAAGCAGAGAACCCAGUUAAGUCACACCCAGAUUUUUGGCCCAGAGAAAUUGUGAGAUAACGAACAUACCUUGUUUUAAGCUGCUAAUUUUGUGGGAAUCAGUUACACAGCAAUAGAGAACUAAAAAAUUUGCUCAAGGUAAUGGAAGUAAUAAGUUGAUGAGUAAGAAUGUGAAACUUGACAGUUUGAUUUAGGAAGUUUAUGCUAACAGCUGCAAUUUUAUAUUUUUACAUUGGAACAUUUUUAUUUUUUAUGUUUCAGUAGAAAUUGUUCUAGUACCAGUUUUAAUUAUAAAAGGUACCAUGAUAAAAGCCAAAAUCGGUUACCUGAGAGUAAGAUGUUCCUAUCUAAUAGAGUUCUUGGGUAUCUACUUGCAUCCAUUGAGAAAUAAAGAUUUGGAAAGUAUUCUGAGUGAGGGAAAGACUUGAACUUUGCCCAUAACUGGCAUUCAGAUAAAGACAAGUUUGAUAAAUACCCUAGCAGUAGUCAUACACAUGGGAGAUGAUGGGGUUUCUGAUAUUAAAUUUCUGUGAGAGGGGAUUGCAUCUAACACAAUCAUCUCAACUUUAAAUGAGGCUCUAGGGUUGAAGUAAAAUGAUAGCUCAGAGCACAGCUUGGUGGCAGUUACCAGUUCUAAUGGCAUCUCAGUGCUCUGUGCAGAAGAGGACUGUGUAGGAGUUGAAAGAGAUGUUUCCUUUGACUCUGAAACUCUGACACUGAAGCAAAGUCACUGUGGGACCCAAUUAAUUGAGUGUAAGACAGAGGAUAACAUUUCUCUCACUUGGCAAGUAUGGUGAGAGAGCCCCAGCUCAACAAUUCCAAGGCUCAAAUAAUUUUGUCACCAGUGACAGCUUUAUUGGGCAGCAGGAGCAGAGGUCUGUUUGUCUGUGGACCUGUCUGUUCCUGAGGCAUGGGAGCCCAGCCCAAUGAGUUGUGGGAAGGACAGCAAGCAGGACUCAUACAUAUGUGAGUGGAGAUAAGGAUAGGGAAUAUUGCAGUCAAGCAGAGGAGGGUUUACAGAUAGAGUGUUAAUGUAGGUGUCACGAUAUUUCACGUGUAGGCUGAUGAUGCCAGAACAUUAAGUUAUAUAAAGAUUAAAGAAAAUAAAUAAGCUAUGAAAUUCCACAGCCCAAUCACUCACAUGUCUGUGCAAAAUAUCUCUCGUGUAAAAUUGGUGAUUACAUUCUGAAGAAACUUGUUUCUGAAUAUUUUAUGCUGCCAUAGUUAUUUGAAACUUGGCAGUCUGAAUAUUUAUGCUGCCAUAGAGUUAUUUGAAAAUACAAAGUAGAAUUAUUUAAAUUAUUCUUGAAAAUGAAUGUGUUCAUUAAGUCAAUGUACAGCCACUACUAAUUAAGCGCCUCUUUGUAGGAGGGAGAGAGAGAGAGAGAGAGAGAGAGAGAGAGAGAGAGAGAGAGAGAGAGAUACUACUGAAGCCUGAGUAGAUACGAAAAUAUCUCCGUUAAGAAGUUUCAAACCCACUGAACCAGACUGAAACUGAUGACUUGAUCAUGAUAUUUGUCAAGUUAAUGUCUAAAGACUUUCGUCUGUGAAAGAUAGUGAAACAGCUAUGCAAAUUUAUGCAUAAAAAUAAAAAUCCCAUAUGUGCCUAGAGGGAGAGGUUUCCAGCCAAAAUGCUAAUGAUAUGACAUAAUAAUACUUAACAUUUCUAUAGAUUUUAAUUCAAAGAGCUUAAAAUGUACUACAAAUAUCUACUAAAUGAGAAUAAGCCGUAUUGUCUUCCUGUGUUACACAUUUCAAGAGUGACUACAUUUUAAUUGAACAAAAAUAUAUGCAUAAUAAUAAAAUCUUCAAAGUGAAAACACCAGGAAAUGGCUAAAUAAACUGUUUAAGAUUUUAAAACAUCUCACUGAUCCCAUUGAAUUAAAUGUAUGAUCAAAACUGCAUGCAAAUUUGGA
RNAcentral lists this long non-coding RNA (2288 nucleotides) under Homo sapiens (human). RNAcentral describes it as "HSALNT0080316". The record is from RNAcentral. Lineage: Eukaryota; Metazoa; Chordata; Mammalia; Primates; Hominidae.